This 105-nucleotide ribosomal RNA is filed under the name uncultured bacterium. Its description in RNAcentral is "partial 16S ribosomal RNA". The record is from RNAcentral.
AAGGUUUUCGGAUUGUAAACUCCUGUUAAGUGGGAAGAAAGACGCUUACCUAAUACGUAAGCGGGAUGACGGUACCACUAGAGAAAGCACCGGCAAACUUCGUGC